This 373-nucleotide ribosomal RNA is filed under the name uncultured bacterium. RNAcentral's name for it is "partial 16S ribosomal RNA". It matches the Rfam family "Bacterial small subunit ribosomal RNA", at positions 338 to 709 of the family's 1533-position model. The record is from RNAcentral.
CCUACGGGUGGCUGCAGUGAGGAAUAUUGGUCAAUGGGCGCGAGCCUGAACCAGCCAAGUCGCGUGAGGGAAGACGGUCCUAUGGAUUGUAAACCUCUUUUGUCGGGGCACAAAAGACGCCACGCGUGGCGUUCCGAGAGUACCCGAAGAAAAAGCAUCGGCUAACUCCGUGCCAGCAGCCGCGGUAAUACGGAGGAUGCGAGCGUUAUCCGGAUUUAUUGGGUUUAAAGGGUGCGCGGGCGGAAGAUCAAGUCAGCGGUAAAAUGGAGAGGCUCAACCUCUUAGAGCCGUUGAGACUGGUUAUCGUGAGUAAGCGAGAAGUAUGGGGAAUGCGGGGGGUAGCGGUGAAAUGCAUGAAUAGCACGAAGAACUC